GCAGAUUCUCAGCCCGCUCCCAUGCACCUGCAGCCAUCCCGCCUCACCCAGUAGCAGGGGACACCAGGCGGCUUUCCAGCAGGCGAUAGCAUUCUUCUGCAUUCUGUGCCCACGGGGCAGGUCCACAACCACAUCCACCUGGCUGUGGCAAGUGGCACAGGGCUUCUGGCCAGGCUGGAGCAGCUGAGCCCACAGAGCUCUGAGACCUAGGAGGUGCUACUCCACUCCAGGGCAGCUGGGUGCCAGACUCAACACCCACAAGCUCCUCAACCUCCGAUGGGAGAGAACAAGGAAGAAUGGCUGUAGCAAAACUCAAAUUUAAAAAAAUAAUUUACAAACUGGUCGUUGGCCAGUUGGCCUGCUUCCCCACACCAGCAGAGGCCACCCAUGGUGGGCAGGGGUGGGUGUCAGGUUGCAUCUUCCCUGAUCCUCCCUGCGUCACCAUCAGGAGACUCUGCUGCUGUCCAGACAAGGAAACGUCGCAACACCUCACAAUUGCUCCCAAGAAUCUUACCUUCAUCAUGAUGAAAUAAACUCUUCCUUUAUUUUA
This is a long non-coding RNA of Canis lupus familiaris (dog), 550 nucleotides long. RefSeq lists it as uncharacterized. The transcript is spliced from 3 exons. The record is from RefSeq and is a predicted model, not a curated record. NCBI's taxonomy places the organism in Eukaryota, Metazoa, Chordata, Mammalia, Carnivora, Canidae.